UCUUGAAUAUUCAAUGUAGCUCCCACAAAUUUGAGGAUAUUUCUUUGCAAAUUUACUUACCUCCUUUUCUAAUUGAUUCUCCACCUUUAAAUACACUUUAAAAUGGCUGGAGAAGAGGUUCUAGCCGUUGGAGAUGAUAAACUAGCCGUUGGAAGGCAUUUGGGGCAAAAAACUAAAGUUUUUAAAAACUAGCCAUUACAGUCCACUUAGUCGACUAACUUUUCUCUUAGUCGACUAAGUCCUUCACUAAGUCGACUCAAAAUCUUC
RNAcentral lists this long non-coding RNA (267 nucleotides) under Elaeis guineensis (African oil palm). RNAcentral describes it as "long non-coding RNA (EGUI_LNC025820)". Lineage: Eukaryota; Viridiplantae; Streptophyta; Magnoliopsida; Arecales; Arecaceae. The record is from RNAcentral.